Molecule: ribosomal RNA, 707 nt
Filed under: Enterobacter sp.
Lineage: Bacteria; Pseudomonadati; Pseudomonadota; Gammaproteobacteria; Enterobacterales; Enterobacteriaceae
Description: bacterial SSU rRNA
Rfam family: Bacterial small subunit ribosomal RNA
Source: RNAcentral
GGGCGGCGAUGUCGAUAUGGAGGUUGUGCCCUUGAGGCGUGGCUUCCGGAGCUAACGCGUUAAAUCGACCGCCUGGGGAGUACGGCCGCAAGGUUAAAACUCAAAUGAAUUGACGGGGGCCCGCACAAGCGGUGGAGCAUGUGGUUUAAUUCGAUGCAACGCGAAGAACCUUACCUGGUCUUGACAUCCACAGAACUUUCCAGAGAUGGAUUGGUGCCUUCGGGAACUGUGAGACAGGUGCUGCAUGGCUGUCGUCAGCUCGUGUUGUGAAAUGUUGGGUUAAGUCCCGCAACGAGCGCAACCCUUAUCCUUUGUUGCCAGCGGUCCGGCCGGGAACUCAAAGGAGACUGCCAGUGAUAAACUGGAGGAAGGUGGGGAUGACGUCAAGUCAUCAUGGCCCUUACGACCAGGGCUACACACGUGCUACAAUGGCGCAUACAAAGAGAAGCGACCUCGCGAGAGCAAGCGGACCUCAUAAAGUGCGUCGUAGUCCGGAUUGGAGUCUGCAACUCGACUCCAUGAAGUCGGAAUCGCUAGUAAUCGUAGAUCAGAAUGCUACGGUGAAUACGUUCCCGGGCCUUGUACACACCGCCCGUCACACCAUGGGAGUGGGUUGCAAAAGAAGUAGGUAGCUUAACCUUCGGGAGGGCGCUUACCACUUUGUGAUUCAUGACUGGGGUGAAGUCGUACAAAGGGGGGAACCACAA